AAGAAAUAGAAGUACUAAAGCAAGGCUGUAAAUACACUGCUAAAACUUUUCAAACUCCUGAUGUUGAAAGGUCAUAAAAACAGACUGUAUUCAAAUCACUUCCUGUUUUGCCAGCAGAGCCACAAGUAAGUUCCAAGUGGGAAAGUGACUGUUCAAAGUGGCAAACGCAGGAUGAAAAGGACAGCUACACAGCACUCUCAGAAAUCUACAGCAGUGAAAUCUUUGACGAAAGACUGUCAUCUGCCUCUGGGCUUUCUACAGGAUUGUUUUGGCCUUUACAUCCCUCAGCACUUGAAUUUUCAACUUAUCUGUUGCAUUUCUUCAAAUGCUGAUUUGUGGUAACUCAAAUUAUCUUAAGAAGAAGUCACCAAGGAGGAGCCCAAGAACUCGUAGCUAGAAGCUGUCAGAAGCUGCAUUUAGGGGAUUGAGAGUGGUGAGAGAAGUCUUGGAGCAAGAAUGCAGGACACCAGGGUAAAAGCCCAGUCCGUAGAAUCCUUCCCUAAGCACUUUGAACACGACGAGGUCAAAGACAGUUCGCUUGGCUGGUUGAGCCUUUGGAAACCCAGUGGUGUCACCCACCAGAAGACCCAAAGCUUCAGAGUACUCACACACAGUCUUUCUCCUGGGAAGUGGUCUUUAAGAAGGUGUGUCUCUGCCACAUAUUUCUGAGGAGCUCCUGGGUCUGGGAAACUUUGGAGUCAGCACUGACCUUUUAUCCUGGUUCUAUAAACCAGAUCACAUGCAAGAAUGUUGCUUCUUAAAAAUUCUCAAAAGUGUUGAAUAGCUGUAGUCCAUGCUAAAGGAAAAUUGAGAACACCAAGUUGUUAGUGAGAGCUGAAUCACUCUGAGUGAUGGAGUGAGAAGUUUUAUUAGGUUGGUGCAAAAGUAAUUUGCGGUUUUUUACAUCAAUUUUAAUGGCAAAAACUGCAAUUACCUUUGCACCAACCUAUAGUUCACAGAGUCAGGUAGACUAGGUAAAGGCAGGCAGAAAGCAGAGACUGGGGAAGUGGAGAAGAGUUAGUGAAAUGAUUUGACUUUGGAGACAAUGGGGUGAAGGCCCAGGGAAGGUUCCACACUCUUGGGGUGGCCAUAGAAAAGUUUUAAAACUCAGAAUUUAAUUUGACUCAAUUUGUUUGCCAAUUCAACUCUCAAUUUGUAAUUUGCAAUAAACUUUUCUAUCUUCACAAAUUCUUUACAUGGUAGGUUUUUGUGGAAAACAAUAAAGGUGAUGAACAUUCUGUCUGGGUCAAUGGUUCUUGAUCUUCAAGACUCUUUAAAAUCACUUGGGGAACUUUUGAAAUCUGCAUGCUGAUGUCAGACUCCUGAGUGAUUACAACAGAAUCUCUGCAGGUGGGACCCAGGAAUCAGUAUAACUUAAAAGAUCCCAGGUGAAUCCAAUAUGCAGCUUGCUUUGGAAUGAGUUAUUGUGAAACAAUAGACUACAGUGAUCAACGUGAACUCAUCUGAGAGACUCCUCGGCAAUCAUGUCUGCUUUGUUCUUUAAUCAGUUCUGUUUCACAUUAUUGGAAACACCUAUUUUAAUUUUAUAAGCCUCCAUUUUUCUCAAAACUUCCACCUCCAAUUCCAUGUAUACUCUCAACUAAUGACUUCCCUUCUACCUUUCAGAGAUAAUUAGAGCUCAACAUGAAAAAUUUCUUUAUUUCCUGUCACCAAAUCUGUAAAUGCGUUUUUUCUUAAUUACUUUUCAUUAGUGCCUUUCUAUCAACAUUUGACCAUCCAAAAUCAUCCAUCUCUAGAAAGUAACAAUACAGAAAUAUAGGGUGUGUGUUUG
Molecule: long non-coding RNA, 1792 nt
Filed under: Macaca mulatta (Rhesus monkey)
Lineage: Eukaryota; Metazoa; Chordata; Mammalia; Primates; Cercopithecidae
Description: lncRNA (ENSMMUG00000050475.1)
Source: RNAcentral